This is a small nucleolar RNA of Jaculus jaculus (lesser Egyptian jerboa), 103 nucleotides long. RefSeq annotates it as small nucleolar RNA U13. The record is from RefSeq and is a predicted model, not a curated record. Lineage: Eukaryota; Metazoa; Chordata; Mammalia; Rodentia; Dipodidae. The transcript has a single exon.
AUCCUUUUACUGGUUCACAAGCAUGAUGACUGGGUGUCCUGCAUGUGCAUGACAUGUUCCUCUCUCCUCUUGUUUCAACAUCAGUACAUUAACACAUCUGAUG